GCCAGCAGCCGCGGUAAUACGUAGGGUGCGAGCGUUGUCCGGAAUUACUGGGCGUAAAGAGCUCGUAGGUGGUCUGUCGCGUCAUUUGUGAAAGCCCGGGGCUUAACUCCGGGUUGGCAGGUGAUACGGGCAUGACUGGAGUACUGUAGGGGAGACUGGAAUUCCUGGUGUAGCGGCGAAAUGCGCAGAUAUCAGGAGGAACACCGGUGGCGAAGGCGGGUCUCUGGGCAGUAACUGACGCUGAGGAGCGAAAGCAUGGGUAGCGAACAGGAUUAGAUAC
RNAcentral lists this ribosomal RNA (280 nucleotides) under uncultured Actinomycetales bacterium. RNAcentral describes it as "partial 16S ribosomal RNA". It matches the Rfam family "Bacterial small subunit ribosomal RNA", at positions 507 to 785 of the family's 1533-position model. The record is from RNAcentral. Lineage: Bacteria; Bacillati; Actinomycetota; Actinomycetes; Actinomycetales.